Branchiostoma belcheri (Belcher's lancelet) is the source of this 1923-nucleotide RNA transcript. It is a transcript of the gene named protein arginine N-methyltransferase 8-like, with no coding region annotated. The transcript has 10 exons. The record is from RefSeq and is a predicted model, not a curated record. NCBI's taxonomy places the organism in Eukaryota, Metazoa, Chordata, Leptocardii, Amphioxiformes, Branchiostomatidae.
GUACUCGACUGACCGGUUUAAAUCUAGACAAUCCUUGUCAGAAUCCAACACUUCACAUGCGUUAUAAAAGACAGACAAGCAAUCAAGCGUCACAUUCGGUUGUCCAGCAUUCACCACGAACGGUCUCAUAGGACGUGCUUGUGAAAAGGCAUCAUGGAAAAGAUCAUCAAGAAUGACUUCACUUACGGUGAACAUGAUGACCACUUCUUCAACCAGGGAUUCAACGCGUACUUCAGACCAGAUAUCCAGCAGGGCAUGUUGGAAGACCGAAUCCGUACAGAGUUUUACCGGGACGCCAUCUACAGCAACAAGCACCUGUUCAAGGAUAAGAUCGUCAUGGACUUUGGAUGUGGGUCUGGCAUCCUGUCCAUGUUUGCUGCAAAAGCAGGGGCCAAGAAAGUUUUUGGCAUUGAAGCAAGCAACCUCGCGAAAACAACCAGGAAAAACGUGAAGAAGAACGGACUUGACCACAUCAUUACUAUCGUGGAAGGGAAGGUUGAGGAGAUCGAGCUGCCCGGUGUGGAGAAGGUGGACGUCCUGCUGAGCGAGGUGAUGGGUGUGGGGCUGAUCCACGAGGGCACGCUGCAGUCUCUCGUCAUCGCCAGGGACAGGUUCCUGAAACCUGGUGGUAUCAUGUUUCCUGACAAAAACACGCUGUACGUAUGUGCCAUCGAAGACAAGGAGAUGCACGACAAUCAUGUCAAAUAUUGGAACGAUGUGAACGGGUUUGAGAUGAAGUCGAUGGCAGACGUCUCCAAGUCGUACGCCUGGCACCAUCCCAUUGGGCCUGAGCAGCCCCGUCACGGACUACUACACACUCAGGGAAUACGACUGGAACACCUGCAAACUGGACGAGAUUUUCUUCACCUCGCCUUUCAAGCUGACGUGUAACAGGAAGGACACGGUCCAUUCUCUGGCGGUCUUCUUCGACUGCGAGUUCAGCGCAUGCUCCACCAAGACUGUUCUUUCUACAGGCCCAGAAGCUCCCAUGACACACUGGAUGCAGCUGACCUGUCAUCUUGACCAGCCUGUUCAGGUGAACAAAGGAGAAGAGCUCGAAGGAACAUUCACCGCUAAAGCAUACAACGGAAGAGACCUGGAGUUUGACAUAGACAUGGACUUCAAGGGAGAACUGGGAUCCACCAAGCUGUCCCGGGAGUACUACUACUACUGGGGCAUGAGCUGCCAGUUGGAAUAUAAAAAAGACGAACUAGAGGCAUAAGCCUUUUGUGCUAAAAGGGUUAGGGUUAGUCAAACUGCCUUAGUCAUUUGAAGGGCUAGGGUUAAAAUGGAUUUUCAAAAAGUACAUUUUCUGGUCAUUCGUUUAAUGUAGUAAGUUGAAUCAAUCCUACCCCAUAGCAUACUGAUAUCUGUGAGGUAGAGAUGCAAUGUCACUGACGGAAAACGGUUGCUUGUUUUGUAUCGUAGGCUGGUUCUAGCUAUUUAUGGGUGGUACCCAAAACAAGAGAUGCCUCAGUCACUUAGCUUAUUUUUGGGGCUAUUUCAAACGGAAAUAAUGAGGAAAAUGUGCUUAGAAUUGGGAGUAAAUGUCAAUAUCAGACAGAUUUUUCCUAAUUAAUAAUAUUUUUGGUCACCGGGGCUCAGUGGCUAAGGAUUGGCAACCAAGGCAAGGAUAAAUGUAUAAGGGUGUUAACAUUUUAUAGCUUUCACUAGCAGUGUCUUCUAGAUAUAAUGUUUUGUUUUGUUUCUUUUCUUUGUGGGGAGGAACUACAUAUUAGUGAUGUAACGUUUAAAUAGUUUGAUAUUGAGUAGAAUCACUGUUUGUCAGUUUCCAAUGUCAAAGUUAAGCCAAACAAUUUGAAUGUAAACAUUAACAUACUAGGAGUAACAGCUGUGUAUAACUCUUUUCUGUAUCUUGACAAAAAAUUUCAGUUGAAUAAAAUUUUCAUGGGGCCAAAUAAA